RNAcentral lists this long non-coding RNA (214 nucleotides) under Glycine max (soybean). Its description in RNAcentral is "long non-coding RNA (GMAX_LNC004463)". The record is from RNAcentral. Lineage: Eukaryota; Viridiplantae; Streptophyta; Magnoliopsida; Fabales; Fabaceae.
UCAGAUUAGCAUUUUGGCACAUUUUUCAUCGCAAAUCGCAAUAACAACCCGUGUAGCAAUACACGGUGCGCAGAAAUGUUGUCGCAGCUCGUGCCAAUAAUUCAUUCAUCACCAGCUACUCCUCAAAAUUCGACUCACUCUUUUAUUUUAAACAAAACAAAAUCCCCUCCUUCCUUUCUAGAUUUCAUAAUCCAAUUCAUUUGCAACAAAAUAC